GCGCCCGUCGCGCAACAGCGAUGGUUCGCGGCAGCGGGCACCGGCGGCGCGGGGCGGUUACGCCCAGAGCUGCGGCUCAGCCGCUGGAAAGACUGCAUUUAUAGUGACAAAAUCCACUUAGCUUCAAGGUACUGGGAGAACAAGACCCCCACAGCUGAGAACCACUGGUACCUUAAAGAGAAUCACAGCAUCAUCACAGUUGGAAAAGACCUCAAAGAUCACC
Molecule: long non-coding RNA, 223 nt
Organism: Calypte anna (Anna's hummingbird)
Lineage: Eukaryota; Metazoa; Chordata; Aves; Apodiformes; Trochilidae
Exons: 3
Source: RefSeq, a predicted model, not a curated record